RNAcentral lists this ribosomal RNA (253 nucleotides) under Victivallis vadensis ATCC BAA-548. RNAcentral's name for it is "partial 16S ribosomal RNA". It matches the Rfam family "Bacterial small subunit ribosomal RNA", at positions 524 to 776 of the family's 1533-position model. Lineage: Bacteria; Pseudomonadati; Lentisphaerota; Lentisphaeria; Victivallales; Victivallaceae. The record is from RNAcentral.
UACGUAGGUGGCGAGCGUUGUUCGGAUUUAUUGGGCGUAAAGGGUCCGUAGGAGGUUUGUUAAAUUCGGGGUGAAAUCCGGGAGCUCAACUCCCGAACUGCCCUGAAGACUGAUGGACUGGAGUGCUGGAGAGGUAAGCGGAAUUCCAGGUGUAGCGGUGGAAUGCGUAGAUAUCUGGAAGAACACCGAAAGCGAAGGCAGCUUACUGGACAGCAACUGACUCUGAAGGACGAAAGCGUGGGGAGCAAACAGG